Molecule: ribosomal RNA, 485 nt
Filed under: uncultured bacterium
Lineage: Bacteria
Description: bacterial SSU rRNA
Rfam family: Bacterial small subunit ribosomal RNA
Source: RNAcentral
GACGAACGCUGGCGGCGUGCUUAACACAUGCAAGUCGAACGAGAAUCUGUGGAAAGAGGAUUCGUCCAAUUGAAGCAGAGGACAGUGGCGGACGGGUGAGUAACGCGUGAGGAACCUGCCUUUCAGAGGGGGACAACAGUUGGAAACGACUGCUAAUACCGCAUGACACAUCGGGGUCGCAUGGCUCUGAUGUCAAAGAUUUAUUGCUGAAAGAUGGCCUCGCGUCUGAUUAGCUAGUUGGUGAGGUAACGGCCCACCAAGGCGACGAUCAGUAGCCGGACUGAGAGGUUGAACGGCCACAUUGGGACUGAGAUACGGCCCAGACUCCUACGGGAGGCAGCAGUGGGGAAUAUUGGGCAAUGGGCGCAAGCCUGACGGAGCAACGCCGCGUGAGUGAAGAAGGUUUUCGGAUCGUAAAGCUCUGUUGAGAGGGACGAGAGAUAUAAUCAGGAAAUGGGUUAUAGAGGACGGUACUUUCGAGGAAG